Molecule: ribosomal RNA, 468 nt
Filed under: uncultured bacterium
Lineage: Bacteria
Description: partial 16S ribosomal RNA
Rfam family: Bacterial small subunit ribosomal RNA
Source: RNAcentral
GACGAACGCUGGCGGCGUGCUUAACACAUGCAAGUCGAACGGAAAGGCCCUGCUUUUGUGGGGUGCACGAGAGGCGAACGGGUGAGUAACACGCGCGUAACCUGCCCUUGAAUUUGGGAUAACUUCAGGAAACUGGGGCUAAUAUCGGAUAGGAGCUACUGCUGCACGGGGGGGGUUGGAAAGAUGCGGCGGUUGGGGAUGGACUAGCGGCUUAUCAGCUUGUUGGUGGGGUAGUGGCUUACCAAGGCUUUGACGGAUAGCCGGCCUGAGAGGGUGACCGGCCACAUUGGUACUGCGAUACGGCCCAGACUCCUACGGGAGGCAGCAGUGGGGAAUAUUGCACAAUGGGCGGAAGCCUGAUGCAGCAACGCCGCGUGCGGGAUGACGGCCUUCUGGUUGUAAACUGCUGUCGCCUGUGACGAAGCGUGAGUGACGGUAAUGGGUAAAGAAGCACCGGCUAACUACGUG